CCUACGGGUGGCAGCAGUGAGGAAUAUUGGUCAAUGGCCGGAAGGCUGAACCAGCCAUGCCGCGUGAAGGUCAGUGCCCUAUGGGCGUUAAACUUCUUUUGUGCGGGAGCAAUAAUGGUCACGUGUGGCCAGACGAGAGUACCGUACGAAUAAGCAUCGGCUAACUCCGUUCCAGCAGCCGCGGUAAAACGGGGGAUGCAAGGGUUAUCCGGGUUUAUUGGGGUUAAAGGGUGCGGAGGCUGUGAGGUAAGUCAGCGGGGAAAAGCCCCCGCUCAACGGGGUGAAGUGCCAUUGAUACUGCCUUGCUGGAAUGCGGAUGCCGUGGGAGGAAUGUGUGGUGUAGCGGUGAAAUGCAUAGAUAUCACACAGAACACCGAUUGCGAAGGCAUCUCACGAAUCCGCGAUUGACGCUGAUGCACGAAAGCGUGGGUAUCAAACAGGAUUAGAUACCCCUGUAGUC
This 460-nucleotide ribosomal RNA is filed under the name uncultured bacterium. RNAcentral's name for it is "partial 16S ribosomal RNA". It matches the Rfam family "Bacterial small subunit ribosomal RNA", at positions 338 to 795 of the family's 1533-position model. The record is from RNAcentral.